This 442-nucleotide ribosomal RNA is filed under the name uncultured Desulfocapsa sp. RNAcentral describes it as "bacterial SSU rRNA". It matches the Rfam family "Bacterial small subunit ribosomal RNA", at positions 943 to 1382 of the family's 1533-position model. The record is from RNAcentral. Lineage: Bacteria; Pseudomonadati; Thermodesulfobacteriota; Desulfobulbia; Desulfobulbales; Desulfocapsaceae.
GGUUUAAUUCGACGCAACGCGCAGAACUUACCUGGUCUUGACAUCUCGGGAAUACAUUUGGAAACAUAUGAGUGCCUCGCAAGAGGAGCCCGAUGACAGGUGCUGCAUGGCUGUCGUCAGCUCGUGUCGUGAGAUGUUGGGUUAAGUCCCGCAACGAGCGCAACCCUUGUCUUUAGUUGCCAUCAUUAAGUUGGGCACUCUAAAGAGACUGCCGGUGUCAAACCGGAGGAAGGUGGGGAUGACGUCAAGUCCUCAUGGCCUUUAUGACCAGGGCUACACACGUACUACAAUGGCAGGUACAAAGGGCAGCCACUUAGCGAUAAGGAGCGAAUCCCGUAAAACCUGUCUCAGUCCGGAUUGGAGUCUGCAACUCGACUCCAUGAAGUUGGAAUCGCUAGUAAUCGCAGAUCAGCACGCUGCGGUGAAUACGUUCCCGGGCCUU